UAGGGAAUCUUCCACAAUGGGCGAAAGCCUGAUGGAGCAACGCCGCGUGUGUGAUGAAGGGUUUCGGCUCGUAAAACACUGUUGUUAAAGAAGAACAUAUCUGAGAGUAACUGUUCAGGUAUUGACGGUAUUUAACCAGAAAGCCACGGCUAACUACGUGCCAA
Molecule: ribosomal RNA, 164 nt
Filed under: uncultured bacterium
Lineage: Bacteria
Description: partial 16S ribosomal RNA
Rfam family: Bacterial small subunit ribosomal RNA
Source: RNAcentral